CUCUAACAAGAACGAUGAUUUUAGUCUUGGGAAACUCUAAGCAGACAACACCAUUGAACAUGCCUAGAUUUCUGACCUAUAAAACUCCAUUGGCAACUAUGUGUGUGAUGGCUCAUCUUAUUCACAGUCCUGGAGAUAAAGGCUUGUCCUUCAGGAUGACUGGAUCUGCAAGUUAUAUUCAACUAAAGAAAGUUACAUUUGUUCCUGUAACGUUGCACAGAAAGGCCAUCGAACAUCUGACAUGCAGGCCAUAAGAGGAGGAGACGGCACUUUAGAAUCCAAAGAAAAAAAGUCAAUCAGAGUAGGGGUUCUUCCCCCAGAUCCUAAGAUUUAAGACAAUUCCAAUGAAAAUCCAAGCAAACUAUCUUGUGGGAAUUGGCAAACUGAUUCAAAACUUUAGAUAGCAAAGCAGGAAGCCCAGAAAUACCAACAAAAUACUGAAGAAAAACAACUCUGGAGGACUGACACUACCUGACUUCUAAACUUUCCAUAAAUCUACUGUAAUCAAGAUGCCAUGGUAUGUGUGAAAGAAUAGACACAUAGAUUAAUGGAACAGAUAUCAA
This is a non-coding RNA of Microcebus murinus (gray mouse lemur), 563 nucleotides long. The record is from RefSeq and is a predicted model, not a curated record. Lineage: Eukaryota; Metazoa; Chordata; Mammalia; Primates; Cheirogaleidae.